Molecule: long non-coding RNA, 384 nt
Filed under: Salvia miltiorrhiza (redroot sage)
Lineage: Eukaryota; Viridiplantae; Streptophyta; Magnoliopsida; Lamiales; Lamiaceae
Description: long non-coding RNA (SMIL_LNC011165)
Source: RNAcentral
CCAAGCUCCUCAUAUGGCAUUCCAAUUUUCUCUCCAUUCAACCAUCAUUCGGAGAAACGGCGGAGGAUGGGGGAGCAGUUGGCGGCGGAAGGCUCUGUCUAUGUCAGAUUUUGACACUUUCCCGUAGGCAUUGCGGGCGUUUGGAGGGGGGAAGGGGAUUGGAGUUUGAGAUUUUUUUAUUUUUUUUCAUUAUUAUUAUUUUCCAACUGUCAUGUUUAGUUCAAAUGUCAUUUUUUUGUCCAAGUGUUAUUUUCAGUGACCUGUGUAUUAUUUAUGAUUGUCAUAGUGUUAUUUUCGAUAACUACGUCGGAGAAAAUUGAUGACCGAAUCGAGCACCCGCAUCGCGGGUCCUCGAUGGGGUACUCGAGGAGACCAUCGUCCUCG